AUAGGCAUGCCCGAUGUUGUUAAGGUUAGCCUAUGGUUAAAUAUAUUUUUUUCGGUUUCCUUUAUUGUAAUCUGUUCCAUCUUUCAAUCCUUUUAGUUUUGUGCUCAAAGUUGAUUUUGCAUUUGUUGGUGAUGUUGUAGGCGUGGAAUAUUUAGUCAUCAUCAGAAUUUAUUCUCAAUGAACCAGGCAGCCAAGUUUAUUGCAUGGUUGUUGGUAAUGAAAUGCUGUUUGCCGGAGCAUAGGAUGGUGGUAUUUUUGCAUGGAAAGGCAGUCCUGGAACUGAGAAUCUUUUUCAUCUUGCUGAUCUCUAAGAGGCCACACUCGCGCUGUGACAUGUUUAACUAUUGGAUGCAAUAUGCAAUAUACUUUAAUCGGCAUAUCUAUUGCUUAUAUUGUGUUCUCAACAGGAAAACCUCAAUUUUUUAUAAGAUUGAUUGAAAGAGAGCAUCCAAUAAAUGUGAGAAGACUAAAUAGAGGAUGUAGAAGAAGAAGAAAUUAGAAAUUGAAAGUUGCUCCUCAGUUUUACUUUGAAGAGUUGAUUAUUGCAUUGAAGAGUAGUCUUUUGAAGCAGAAGUUGCGGUACUGAUGUCUCCACAAAAACUUCAAGCUUUUGUAUAAAUUGUAGAUUCUUAUUUUAGUAGCAAUUCAAUAAGCAACUUUGAUUCCGUUUCAGACUAUUAUGCAAGAGCAUAUAGUUCUUAUUUAUCUGUUGUUUUUUUUUUUUUGCCUUGUAAAACUUUACUUCGUUAGAAGAAGGCUUGAACCUCCGACCUUGUUAACCUAUUUUUAAGUAUUUGACAAACUAUAAAUAUUCAUGUUCACAUUUGAUUUUUGUGUACACAAA
Long non-coding RNA from Mangifera indica (mango), 844 nucleotides. RefSeq lists it as uncharacterized. The transcript has 3 exons. NCBI's taxonomy places the organism in Eukaryota, Viridiplantae, Streptophyta, Magnoliopsida, Sapindales, Anacardiaceae. The record is from RefSeq and is a predicted model, not a curated record.